RNAcentral lists this long non-coding RNA (363 nucleotides) under Brassica napus (rape). RNAcentral's name for it is "long non-coding RNA (BNAP_LNC026135)". Lineage: Eukaryota; Viridiplantae; Streptophyta; Magnoliopsida; Brassicales; Brassicaceae. The record is from RNAcentral.
CAGGCGCAUCAAACCACCUGUAAAUUUAAAGUAGAGGAAGUAACAUUUGGCUGAAUAGAAUUCAGAUCAAUCAAAACUUGAUAUUUGGAGCACUUAGCCAUUUAAGUAGAUGAAGUUACAGUUUCCAUUUUCUUACCCACAACAACAGUUUUGGCUUCAGUGAGUUUCAGUUGUUCCAAAGCUUUUACCUAGUUAGAUCAAAGAAAAACAGUUGACGAGUAAUCAUGUUCUCGGUAAGUAAGUAGUUCUUCGGGAAAUUAGUAAAUAUAGAACAAAACAACAAGUAUAUUGUCCCUUUACCAUAAUUUGAAGUAUAAAUUGUCCAUUUAGUAUCAUCUUUUGUAUAAACCCAAUUAAACCCCU